UGGGCCCACUUCGUCCGCGGCCGCAGGAACCCGGUGUCACUCCGGGGCGGUUCCGCCACUGUGUGCCGAGCGAUCGGCAAGCCAGACACUGCCCGCGGACGGUUCCGACAC
Molecule: non-coding RNA, 111 nt
Filed under: Aeromicrobium sp. Root495
Lineage: Bacteria; Bacillati; Actinomycetota; Actinomycetes; Propionibacteriales; Nocardioidaceae
Also listed under: 1 other name
Source: RNAcentral